Molecule: ribosomal RNA, 432 nt
Filed under: uncultured bacterium
Lineage: Bacteria
Description: partial 16S ribosomal RNA
Rfam family: Bacterial small subunit ribosomal RNA
Source: RNAcentral
AACGAACGCUGGCGGCAUGCCUAACACAUGCAAGUCGAACGAGACCUUCGGGUCUAGUGGCGCACGGGUGCGUAACGCGUGGGAACCUGCCCUUAGGUUCGGAAUAACUCCCCGAAAGGGGUGCUAAUACCGGAUAAUGUCUUCGGACCAAAGAUUUAUCGCCUUUGGAUGGGCCCGCGUUGGAUUAGCUAGUUGGUAGGGUAAAAGCCUACCAAGGCGACGAUCCAUAGCUGGUCUGAGAGGAUGAUCAGCCACACUGGGACUGGGACCCGGCCCAGACUCCUACGGGAGGCAGCAGUGGGGAAUAUUGGACACUGGGCGAAAGCCUGAUCCAGCAAGGCCGCGUGAGUGAUGAAGGCCUUAGGGUUGUAAAGCUCUUUUACCCGGGAUGAUAAUGACGGUACCGGGAGAAUAAGCUCCGGCUACCUCCUU